Molecule: ribosomal RNA, 1369 nt
Filed under: uncultured bacterium
Lineage: Bacteria
Description: bacterial SSU rRNA
Rfam family: Bacterial small subunit ribosomal RNA
Source: RNAcentral
GACGAACGCUGGCGGCGUGCCUAAUACAUGCAAGUAGAACGCUGAAGAGAGGAGCUUGCUCUUCUUGGAUGAGUUGCGAACGGGUGAGUAACGCGUAGGUAACCUGCCUGGUAGCGGGGGAUAACUAUUGGAAACGAUAGCUAAUACCGCAUAAAAUUGAUUAUUGCAUGAUAAUUAAUUGAAAGAUGCAAUUGCAUCACUACCAGAUGGACCUGCGUUGUAUUAGCUAGUUGGUGAGGUAACGGCUCACCAAGGCGACGAUACAUAGCCGACCUGAGAGGGUGAUCGGCCACACUGGGACUGAGACACGGCCCAGACUCCUACGGGAGGCAGCAGUAGGGAAUCUUCGGCAAUGGGGGGAACCCUGACCGAGCAACGCCGCGUGAGUGAAGAAGGUUUUCGGAUCGUAAAGCUCUGUUGUAAGAGAAGAACGGGUGUGAGAGUGGAAAGUUCACACUGUGACGGUAUCUUACCAGAAAGGGACGGCUAACUACGUGCCAGCAGCCGCGGUAAUACGUAGGUCCCGAGCGUUGUCCGGAUUUAUUGGGCGUAAAGCGAGCGCAGGCGGUUAGAUAAGUCUGAAGUUAAAGGCUGUGGCUUAACCAUAGUAUGCUUUGGAAACUGUUUAACUUGAGUGCAGAAGGGGAGAGUGGAAUUCCAUGUGUAGCGGUGAAAUGCGUAGAUAUAUGGAGGAACACCGGUGGCGAAAGCGGCUCUCUGGUCUGUAACUGACGCUGAGGCUCGAAAGCGUGGGGAGCAAACGGGAUUAGAUACCCUGGUAGUCCACGCCGUAAACGAUGAGUGCUAGGUGUUAGGCCCUUUCCGGGGCUUAGUGCCGCAGCUAACGCAUUAAGCACUCCGCCUGGGGAGUACGACCGCAAGGUUGAAACUCAAAGGAAUUGACGGGGGCCCGCACAAGCGGUGGAGCAUGUGGUUUAAUUCGAAGCAACGCGAAGAACCUUACCAGGUCUUGACAUCCCUCUGACCGCUCUAGAGAUAGAGUUUUCCUUCGGGACAGAGGUGACAGGUGGUGCAUGGUUGUCGUCAGCUCGUGUCGUGAGAUGUUGGGUUAAGUCCCGCAACGAGCGCAACCCCUAUUGUUAGUUGCCAUCAUUCAGUUGGGCACUCUAGCGAGACUGCCGGUAAUAAACCGGAGGAAGGUGGGGAUGACGUCAAAUCAUCAUGCCCCUUAUGACCUGGGCUACACACGUGCUACAAUGGCUGGUACAACGAGUCGCAAGCCGGUGACGGCAAGCUAAUCUCUGAAAGCCAGUCUCAGUUCGGAUUGUAGGCUGCAACUCGCCUACAUGAAGUCGGAAUCGCUAGUAAUCGCGGAUCAGCACGCCGCGGUGAAUACGUUCCCGGGCCU